Molecule: ribosomal RNA, 253 nt
Filed under: uncultured bacterium
Lineage: Bacteria
Description: partial 16S ribosomal RNA
Rfam family: Archaeal small subunit ribosomal RNA
Source: RNAcentral
UACCAGCACCCCGAGUGGUCGGGACGUUUAUUGGGCCUAAAGCAUCCGUAGCCGGUUCUACAAGUCUUCCGUUAAAUCCAACUGCUUAACAGGUGGGCUGCGGAAGAUACUAUGGAGCUAGGAGGCGGGAGAGGCAAGCGGUACUCGAUGGGUAGGGGUAAAAUCCGUUGAUCCAUUGAAGACCACCAGUGGCGAAGGCGGCUUGCCAGAACGCGCCCGACGGUGAGGGAUGAAAGCUGGGGGAGCAAACCGG